RNAcentral lists this long non-coding RNA (25917 nucleotides) under Triticum aestivum (bread wheat). RNAcentral describes it as "long non-coding RNA (TAES_LNC019884)". Lineage: Eukaryota; Viridiplantae; Streptophyta; Magnoliopsida; Poales; Poaceae. The record is from RNAcentral.
GCUGUUACCAAGGAAAACAAGUGACUUCUGAUGGGAAAAAUGAGAACCAAAGAUUGCCCCAGAUGUUUUAAGUUAAAUUAUGACCUCUGCAGUUUGGCUAGCUAGCACUAGAUAUGCUAUGGGACCUUGUGGUAUCAUGUUAUUAUAUCUCUAUCUAGCUAUCUAUCUCUCUAUCUAUCUAUUCCAGUAGAUUAUGCAUGAAACUGUAGCUUGAUGCAAACAUACUUGCAUGGCUUGUAUCGUACUGUCAUGCAUUGCUGGUGUUUUUGCAAGUGCUUCCGGCUCCAAGUGAUUGCAAUCAACUUAGAAGUGUUCACUCUCUGAAGCUAAUUUGUGUGACGCCUUGUAACAGAUCCUUUCACUUUGUGACUGCUCUGUGUUUUUCUGGUCACCAAGGGGCGGGCUCGUCUUGUUCGGAUCCUUUUCACUUCAUGACUGCCCUGUUUUUUUUUUCUACAUCACCAUUUGGCCGGCUUGCCUUGACCUAUUCAUUCUGCACGUUUCAUCCAUACGUGCGACAAGUAAUUCGGAACGGAGGGAGUACAAACCUGUUCAGUUCAAAAUCAUGGGGUAACAGGUGCAACUUAAAAAGGAGCAACCUUUCCCUUCCAAGUGCUAAACAAGAGAACACUGGCAAGUUUGUUCUAGAUUUUCGAUCUUCUACUCUUCUUAAUAAUCUGGAGAGAGGUUACAGAUUUUGCAAUCUUCUACUUUUCUUAAUACUCUAGAGAGAGGAAACAAAAAUACUCCCUCACAUCCAUAUUAAUUGUCACUAGAGGUAGUAACAAUUCUCAGCUACUCCCUCCUUUCCUAAAUAUUUGUCCUUUUAGAGAUUUCAAAUGGACUACCACAUACAGAUGUAUAUAGACAUAUUUUAGAGUGUAGAUUCACUCAUUUUGCUUCAUGUGUAGUCACUUGUUGAAAUCUCUAAAAAAGACAAAUAUUUAAGAAUGGAGGAGUAGAUGAGAAUUACUUAAGUUUCAUCUGUACGAUUUCGCAUUCUCCGGCCCGUUUUUGUGUCGUUUCUUCUUAAGCAUCACGCGGGAGUCACUAAUUAACGAGUGCUCCUUCGGGAGCCUCGCAACGAUCAGCGCCAUUUGACGCGCUCUCAGCCAUUCGCCAUGUGUCGCACUCUGGGCGCUCCCUCCGGAUUUUGUUCUUCUUUUUUGCACGCGUUUUCAGCUAUUUAAACGGGUUUUUUCGACGUUUUGGUUUUCCACCGAUCUUCCUUAGCUUUCCGACAAAAAAAAUCGAAAAACAAUUUACGUGAAAAAACGCGUUUCCUUUUUUUUCCUUUCGCGAGAGUCACGGUUUUGCUUUCGCGAGAGGCACGGUUUUGUUUUCGCGGAAACGGAAAAAAACGCGUUUUCUUUUUUUUUCCUUUCGCGAAAGUCACGGUUUUGCUUCCGCGAGAGGCACGGUUGUGCUUUCGCGAGAGUCACGGCCGUGCCUCUCGAAAAGGAAAAAAACGCGUUUUCUAUUUUCUUUCAUUUCGCGUGAGUCAUGGUUUUGCUUCCGCGAGAGGCACGGAUGUGCUUUCGCGAGAGUCACGGCCGUGCCUCUCAGAAACGGAAAAAAUGUGUUUUCUGUUGUUUUCCUUUUGCGAGAGUCACGGUUUUGUUUUCGCAGAGGCACGGGUGUGCUUUCGCGAGAGUCACGGGCGUGCCUCUUUUGGAAAGGGAAAAAACCCGUGCUCCCGGUUUGGUUUUUUUGUCCGGUUUCUUUUGGCCGGUUUUUUCAUGAAAAAAUAUUCGUCAAAACCUACCAACAUGGGAUCUAGUUUUGAAGAUCUCGACGCGAGGAAUCCAACGGUGAAAGCGGUUUGAGAUUUGGACGCACGGUUUGAGAGAUAAAAUGUUUUGAAUAAACGGAUCUACGAAAAAAGGGAAAACUCCCAGGUUGCGACAAGUGGCGUGUCACUUGUCGCAAUCUGAGGAGUUGGAGUGAUCUUUGCAAUGAGUACUCCUCAACUAGUGAUUUCGGUAUCACGCACGGCUGGUUCCUAUAUAGCGCUUAAGGCGCUACGUACUACCUCUAGGUCCUAAGUGGGCUGCCGGCCCAUAUUACCUUCUGGGAUAUGUUUUCUGUUUUUGUUUUCUGUUGAAUUUUUGUGUGUUUUUCUUAUCUCACUUUUUUGUUAUAUUUUUUUGAAUUCAUGAACAUCUUUCAAAUACAUGAUUGUUUUUAAAAAAAUAUGAACUUCUAUGUAUUAUCCUUUUUGCAAUUUUUUGAAUUCAUGAAUAUUUUUCCAGAUUUUCUGAAUUUGAAUUUGUGAUUUAUUUUCAAAGUUCAUGAACUUUUUUCAAACUCAUGGACAUUUUCAAUUUCACAUUUUUUUUAAAAUUCAUGAUUGUUAUCAAACCCAUGAUUUUUUUGAAAAGGUUAACUGGUCAACAGUCAGCAAUUAACAAUCAAUCAAGUCAAAGGUCAACUGGUCAAUUGGUCAGAGGAAACAAAAAUGCUCCCUCCAAUCCAUAUUAAUUGUCACUAAUUCUCAGCUUGAUGAGAAUUACUUAAGUUUCAUCCGUAUGAUUUCACAUUCUCCGGCACGUUUUUGUGUCAUUGCUUGUUAGGCAUCACGCAAGGCUUGUUUCUAUAUAGCGCUUAAGGCGACACGUACAACCUCCUCGCUAGGUCCUAAGUGGGCUGCCGACCCAUGUUACCUUCUGGGAUAUGUUUGUCCGUUUUUGUUUUCUGCUGAAUUUCCGUGUGUUUUUCUUAUCUCCCUUUUCUGUUAUAUUUUUGUGAAUUCAUGAACUUCUUCAAAUACCUGAUUUUUAGGAAAAAUAUGAGCUUUUAUGAAUUAUCUUUUUUGCAAUUUUUUGAAUUCAUGAAUAUUUUUCCCAUUUUUUGAAUUCGAAUUUGUGAUAUCUUUUCAAAUUUCAUGAACUUUUUUAAAAUUCGUGAAAAUUUCAAUUCCACAAACUUUUUUCAAAUUCAUGGUUUUUAUCAAACCCAUGAACUUUUCUGAAAAAGUCAACUGGUUAACAGUCAAUCAAUUACUCCCUCUAUCCCAUAAUAUAAGAACAUUUUUUACACGAGUGUAGUGUCAAAAACUUUCUUAUAUUAUGGGACGGAGGGAGUAACAAUAAAUCGAUCAAAGAUCAAUUGGUCAAUUGGUUAACCGUUCAAUGUUUAACUUUUUUUAGGUGAAUCAACUGUUUAAUUUAUCAACCGAGCGAGCAAGCGGCCGCUUUGUUGGGCCGACCCACACGAGCAGGCGUGCUAACGUGAGGGUUCCCCGCUGGGUCUGCGCUUGAAGAUUUUUAGGUUUCGAUUGAGCACACAUAGGAAGACUUUAAUCUAACUCUCACUUUGACCACCUUGAUAGUAUGGUUUUCCCUAUUGAGUCAAAUAGAAGCAAAAGAAACUAGUAAACAAAGUCUACAUUUUUGCUUCAUUCACUUCAAGAACACCAUUUGCUUCAAAUGGGUAUCCCAUAUUCUUCAAUAUUAUCACAACAAGUUUAGGGGUUAUAACUAUUUGUUAAAUCAAAUCCUCGGGGACUACUACAUGUGUAAACUCACAAACACAUUAUUCCUUAACUAUUUUUUCCAUAGAAUCAUCCAAAACCAUUAGGGGGACACUAGAUACACUUAUAAUCUCCCCCCUCGACAAUUUGAUGACAACACAGUUAAUGCUUCAUAGGAUUGAAUAAUAGUAAUUGUAGCAAGGAUUUUGGUUCCACGAUAUAGAGGGCAUAACCCCCCCUAGAAUGUGCAUUGUUGAAUAGCUUGUGUUUGAAUGCAAGUGCACAUGACAGGUAAACUGUGAGGAGCCCCCCCCCCUAUAUCCUGGAAUCUGAAGGAGUGCAUUAUGUACAGAUAUAAAAUUAAGAAUAUGACAAUGCAAACUAAGUGAACCAUGAGGAAUAUCAACUUGCAUAUAAUUUAAUGAGGUAACUGCAUGAAUAACAAGUGCAGCAGGUAUGUCAGAUCACAUAAAUUAAGAGUUUUACAACAUAUUAAGAAUCAAAUUUAAAAAGAGCAAUGUAACUCAGUAGAAAAGCCUGCCAUCGGAAGUUGGAACGACCAAAAAAUGGUUUAUAAGCAAAUGUGCCUACGCAUUUCCGCAAAAUGGAUGUACCAGGGAGCUUGAAAAUAAGAAGAUGAGAUGGAGGUUGAUGCUAGUGCUGGGGAGAGUAAGUAGAUGACUUGGAAGAAGAAAAUCUGGAUUGCCUAGGUGGUCAGGAGAAUGUGCAGCUCUCUACGAUUUCAGAAGAUGUAGUAGAAGACCCUUGGUCCCAAGAAUCCUUUGGCACUCAAGUGGUGAAUGCCUUUGCUGCUGGGAAAUCUUGUGGAAGUGGCAGCUCCGCGGCAACUGCACCUAUCCCUGAGAUUAGAAGGAUGAUAGUUUGUAGGUUUGGAAGGUACUGACAGAACUACUUUGGUCAUGCAGAGGUUUUUUUUAUGUUUUUGUUUGUUAUUCUUUUAUUUUAUUUUUAAUGGAUGUUGUCACUUUUACAAAUAAAUGUCGAAUAUUGUCAAAAUACAUGUAAUUUUUUUAUGAAUUGUACCAACAUUUUUUUACACCACACAAAAAACAAACUUUUAGAUUCCAUAAAAAAUCAAUGCAGGGUAAACAUUUUAUAAACUAGGUAUAUUAGCAUUUUUUUUCUAAUUACAUGAAUAUUCUUACAAGGCGCGGGAGCUUGAAAAUCAGGAAAAAAACUUGAUGAAAUCUAGGCCAAGGAAGAUGAGAUGGAGGUUGAUGCUGGUGAUGGGAGAAUGUGGAGAUGAACUUGGAAGAAGAAAAUCUGGAUUGCCUAGGUGGUCAGGAGAAGGCGUAGCUCUCAGUGGUUUUAGAUGAUGUGGCAGAAGAUCCUGGGUCCCGAGAAUCCCUUGGCACUCAAGUGGUGAAUGCCUUUGCUGCUGGGAAAUCUUGUGGAAGUGGCAGCUCCGCUGCAAGUUCCUCUAUCCCUGAGAACACAGGGAGUGAUAGUUUGUGGGUUUGGAAAUACUGACAGAACUACUUUGGCCACGCAGAGGGUUUUAUUGUUGUUUUUAAUUUUUUUUGUUAGUUAUUUUUUAAUUGGGGUUGUCAAUUUUAAAAAUAAACGUCCAAUAUUUUUGAAAUACAUGUAGUUUUUUAUGAAUUAUACCAACAUUUUUUACACUACACAAACAAGAUUUUCAUUCCACAAAAUAAUCAAUGAGAGGUAAAUAUUUUUAGAAACUAAGUAUAUCAUCACUGUUUCUAAUUUACAAGGCACAAGAAACUUGAAAAUGAGGAAAACACUUGAUGAAUUCGGGUCGAGGAACAUGAGACGGAGGUUGAUGCUAGUGUUGCGGAGAAUGAGGAGAUGACUUGGAAGAAGAAAAUCUGGAUUGCCUAGGUGGCCGGGAGAAGGUGUAGCUCUCUACGUUUCCAGAAGAUGGAGUAGAAGAUCCUUGGUCCCAAGAAUCCUUUGGAAGUCAAGUGGUGAAUGUCUUUGUUGCUGGGAAAUCUUAUGGAAGUGGCAGCUCCGCUCCAACUGCCCAUAUCCCUUAGAUCAGAAGGAGUGAUAGUUUGUCGAUUUGGAAGGUACUCACAAAACUACUUUUGCCAAGCAAAGGGUUUUAUAGUCUUUUUUUACAUUUUUGGUUAGUUAUUUUUUAUUUUCAUUUUUAAUGGCCGUUAUCAUUUUUACAAAUAAACGUCGAAUAUUGUCAAAAUACAUGUAUUUUUUAUGAAUUGUACCAACAUUUUUUUAUACCACACAAACAAACUUUUGCAUUCCACAAAAAAAAUCAAUGCAAGAUAAUGUUUUUGUAAAGUAAGUAUACUAGCAUUUUUUUAAUUUACAUGAAUAUUCCUACAAGGCGCAGGAGUUUGAAAAUCAAGAAAAACUUGAUGAAAUUCAGGCCAAGGAAGAUGGGAUGGAGGUUGAUGCUGGUGCUGGGAGAAUGAGGAGAUAAUUUGGAAGAAGAAAAUCUGGAUUACCUAGGUGGUCAGGAGAAGGCGUAGCUCUUUGCUGUUUCAGAAGAUGUAGUAGAAGAUCCUGGGUCUCGAGAAUCCUUUAGCACUCAACUGGUGAAUGCCCUGGCUGCUGCGGAAUCUUGUGGAAGUGGCGGCUCCGCUGCAAAUGCCCCUAUCCCCUAGAUCAGAAGGAGUGAUAGUUUGUGGGCUUGGAAGAAAAUGACAUAACUACUUUGGCCAUGUGGAGGGUUUUAUUGUUCCUUUUCUUUUAUUGUUUGUUUCUUUUUUAUUUUAUUUGUUAAUGGAUGUUGUCAUUCUUACAAAUACACGUCGAAUAUUCUUGAAAUACAUGUAAAACAUUUUUAUGAUUGUGCAUCUUGAUGUUGACAUGGACGGCGGAUGCUUCACCGGUACAUCCCCGUUCCGGUAAAUUUACUUAUUCGAUGGACUGUGCUAUUUGUCAACCGUGUGACAGAUUGCGAAAAUACCAACCGAUCCUGCCAGCGAGGCCCAGCUCGCUCGAUCCGUCUAAGGAGGCCCUAGUGCGUUCGAUUCUAAAUUUUCCUCUCGUCCCCGUUGGCCACGCACAUCCCACGUUCUCUCGCCUAGUACUUUUUUCCACCUUUUUUUUCACGUUACACAAUUUUCUCUCUCGUCCCGUUAGCCUCCCGCUUCCCCCACGUUUUUCUCAUCAGAAGAAACAAAAGUAGGGUAAAAAAUGAGGGAAAAGGCAAAAAAGCUGAGCCUGACGAGAUUCGUACCCAGGUCCUCCUUGUUUGAGGCUGCAGGGCUUACACAAAGCCCAAUACCCAACUAGACAACACAAAGUUUGUGUUCACAUUCUAAAGAAAUAUACUACUUCAUCGCUGGUGCAUAUUAUUAUCAUAACAUUUGUCCAGUAUUUAUUCAAGGGUUUGCUUUCAACAAGUUUUUUCCUAUGUUAAAAAGUUACCACGUGUAAAUUAUCAGGUCUCCGGUCCAUAUAUUAUCAUGUCAUCUAUACAAAAAUAACCGAUGAAUAUUUUCAACAAUUGUUUUCCCCAGGGUCAAAUGUUACCACAUGUUUUGUACCUAAGUUAUCAUGUGUGCGAUGUGUAUAGUACCAUACUAUUUACACAUAAGUUACCGGGGUUAUUUCAACACAUUUUUUCCCUCGGUCAAUGUUACCCUGGUGUCUUAUAUCUAAGUCAUCAUGUCUGUGGUGCAUAAAUCACCAUGGAAUGUACAAAAAGAGUUACAACGUCAUGUUAUCAACAACUUUUCUCCCGGGUGAAAGUUAUCAUCGUGUUUCUACGCAAUUUAUCAAAACUUAUCAUGCUAUUUACACAGAAGUUAUUGGGCGUAUUAUCAUUUCUAUUUGAACAGAUGUUAUUGUACAUAAUUCAUCAGGUCCAUGGUGCGUAUAUUACCGUGCUAUUCACACAAAAGUUAUCGGAGGUAUGUUUUCAACAACUUUAUUCCCGGAUCAAAAAUUUAUCAUGGUGUAUGCAUUUGAGUUAUUCGUGAUCCGUAAAUUAUCAUAUUAUUUUCAUAGAAGUUACUGCACGCAUGCUUUGAAACAAUUUGCCCUGAGCCAAAUUUACCGCAGUGUUUGUACGUUAGUUAUCAUGUCCACAAUGCGUACAUUACCAUGCUAUUUUCAUAGAAGUUACCAUGCUAUCAGGUUCGCGAGCUUGACCUUACUUAUAGAACACAACAACAAAACAAGGUAUGGCCUAGUUAUGUAUUGUCUAGUGGGAAAAAUGAUGGGACUAGGAGAUAAAUCGCCAAAGCUCAAAAUUGGAAAGAAAAAGAAAUGCCUUUUACUGCGUCCUAUUUCCAUCUCAGGCUCUCAGUCCUUAUUUACAAAAACUACAACAGUACCCAAUCACAACAUACUGCAUUCCUAGAGGGUUGUCUCAGCUAGCCCACAACCUAUGGGUGCGGGGUUUGACUCCCGCUCUGCUCGUUCUUUGAAAUAUUUAUGGAGACGAUAGGGCGAGCCAUCGAAAUUACCGACGAGGAUUGCGGUAUGCGCUGUCGUCAUAUCAGAAGUCAGCCAAUGCAUUCAAUCAUUUUGUAAAAACCAUUUGGUGUGCCACAUACAUUAGUCAUUUCAUAUAAGUUACUUGUGGUAUAUUUUUCAACAUUUUUUCCGUCUUGGUCAAAGUUACAGCGGUGUUUGUCCGUAAGUUAUCGGGUAUGUGUUUCGUAUAUUACUGUGCUAUUUUCGCAUAAGUUUUCGAGGGUAUGUUUUGUUGGGGAACGUAGUAAUAAUUCAAAAUUCUCCUACGUGUCACCAAGAUCAAUCUAGGAGAUACUAGCAACGAGAGAGAGAGAGAGAGGGAGUGCAUCUUCAUACCCUUGAAGAUUGCUAAGCGGAAGCAUUACAAGAAUGCGGUUGAUGGAGUCGUACUCGCGGCGAUUCAAAUCGCGGAAGAUCCGAUCUAGCGCCGAACGGACGGCGCCUCCGCGUUCAACAUACGUACAGCCCGGGGACGUCUCCUCCUUCUUGAUCCAGCAAGGGGAGAGGAGAAGUUGAGGGAGAGCUCUGGCAGCACGACUGCGUGGUGGUGGAGCUUGUAGUUCUCCGGCAGGGCUUCGCCAAGCACUACUGAGGAGGAGGUGGAGUUGGAGAGGGGGAGGGUUGCGCCAGGGGCAAGGGGUUAAGCUCCCAUGCGCCUCCCCACUAUAUAUAGGGGUGGAGGGGCUGGUUUCUUGCCCUCCAAGUCCAUUGGGGCGUUGGCAAAGGUGGGAGGAAAGAAAUCCCAUCAUUUCCUUCCCCACCGAUUGUUAUCCCCCCUUUUUAGGGAUCUUGAUCUUAUCCCUUCGGGAUAUGAUCUUAUUCCUUCUAAGUGGGAUCUUUGUGCGCCUUGACCAGGGGUGUGUGGCCUUGUCCCCACUACCCACGUUCAUGUGGGUCCCACUCCAGAACCUUCUAGAACCUUCCCGGUACAAUACCGAAAAAUCCCAAACAUAUUCCGGUGGCCAAAAUAGGACUUCCCAUAUAUGAAUCUUUACCUCCGGACCAUUCCGGAACUCCUCGUGACGUCCGGGAUCUCAUCCGGGACUUCGAACAACAUUCGGUAACUGCACACUAAUUCCCAUAACAACUCUAGCAUCACCGAACCUUAAGUGUGUAGACCCUACGGGUUCGGGAAUCAUGCAGACAUGACCGAGACAACUCUCUGGCCAAUAACCAACAGCGGGAUCUGGAUACCCAUGUUGGCUCCCACAUGUUCCACGAUGAUCUCAUCGGAUGAACCACUAUGUCGGGGAUUCAAUCAAUCCCGUAUACAAUUCCCUUUGUCAAUCGGUACGUUACUUGCCCGAGAUUCGAUCGUCGGUAUCCCCAUACCUCGUUCAAUCUCGUUACCGGCAAGUCUCUUUACUCGUUCUGUAACGCAUGAUCCCGUGGCUAACUCCUUAGUCACAUUGAGCUCAUUAUGAUGAUGCAUUACCGAGUGGGCCCAGAGAUACCUCUCCGUCACACGGAGUGACAAAUCCCAGUCUCGAUUCGUGCCAACCCAACAGACACUUUCGGAGAUACCCGUAGUGCACCUUUAUAGCCACCCAGUUACGUUGUGACGUUUGGCACACCCAAAGCAUUCCUACGGUAUCCGGGAGUUGCACAAUCUCAUGGUCUAAGGAAAUGAUACUUGACAUUAGAAAAGCUCUUAGCAAACGAACUACACGAUCUUGUGCUAUGCUUAGGAUUGGGUCUUGUCCAUCACAUCAUUCUCCUAAUGAUGUGAUCCCGUUAUCAAUGACAUCCAAUGUCCAUGGUUAGGAAACCAUAACCAUCUAUUGAUCAAUGAGCUAGUCAACUAGAGGCUCACUAGGGACAUGUUGUGGUCUAUGUAUUCACACAUGUAUUACGUUUCUAGUUAAUACAAUUAUAGCAUGAACAAUAGACAAUUAUCAUGAACAAGGAAAUACAAUAGGGCAUAUUUCCAACAGUCUCCCACUUGCACUAGAGUCAAUAAUCUAGUUCACAUCACUAUGUGAUUGUAAUGAAUACAUCACCCAUGGUGUUUGAUCAUAUCUCGCUUGUGAGAGAGGUUAUUAGUCAACGGGUCUGAACCUUUCAGAUCCGUGUGUGCUUUACAAAUCUCUAUGUCAUCUUGCAAAUGCAGCUACCGCGCGCUACUUGAAGUUAUUCCAAAUAACUGCUCUACUAUAUGAAUCCGGUUUACUACUGAGAGUCAUCCAAAUUAGUGUCAAAGUUUGCAUCGACGUAACCCUUUACGACAAACUCUUUUACCACCUCCAUAAUCGAAAAAUUCCUCAGUCCACUAGUUACUAAGGAUAAAUUUGAUCGCUGUCCUGUGAUCCAUUCCUGGAUCACUCUUGUACCCCUUGACUGACUCAUGGCAAGGCACACUUCAGGUGCGGUACACAUCGUAGCAUACUGUAGAGCCUACGUCUAAAGCAUAGGGGACGACCUUUGUCCUUUCUCUCUCUUCUGCCGUGGUCAGGUCUUGAGUCUUACUCAAUACUCACACCUUAUAACACAGCCAAGAACUCCUUCUUUGCCGAUCUAUUUUGAAUUCCUUCAAAAUCUUGUCACGGUAUGUGUUCAUUUGAAAGUACUAUUAAGCGUUUUUGACCUAUCCUUAUAGAUCUUGAUGCUCAAUGUUCAAGUAGCUUAAUCCAGGUUUUCCAUUGAAAAACACUUUUCAAAUAACCCUUUAUGCUUUCCAGAAAUUCUACAUCAUUUCUGAUCAACAAUAUGUUAACAACAUAUACUCAUCAGAAAUUCUAUAGUGCUCCCACUCACUUCUUUGGAAAUACAAGUUUCUCAUAAACUUUGUAUAAACCCAAAAUCUUUGAUCAUCUCAUCAAAGUGUAUAUUCCAACUCCGAGAUGCUUACUCCAGUCCUUAGAAAGAUUGCUGGAGCUUUGCAUACUUGUUAGCAUCUUUCAGGAUUGACAAAACCUUCUGGUUGUAUCACAUACAACCUUUCCUCAAGAAAAUCGUCGAGGAAACAAUGUUUUGACAUCCUAUCCGCAAGAUUUCAUAAAAUGCAGUAACUGCUAAUAUAAUUCCAACAGACUCUUAGCAUCGCUACGAGUGAGAAAGUCUCAUUGUAGUCAACUCCUUGAACUUGCCGAAAACAUCUUAACGACAAGUCGAGCUUUCUUAAUGGUGAUACUUACCAUCAUUACCCAACAGCCUUACGACCAUCAAGUAGUUCUUCCAAAGUCUAUACUUUGUUUUCAUACAUGGAUCCUCUCGGAUUUUAUGGCCUCGAGCCAUUCGUCAGAAUCCGGGCCCACCAUCGCUUCUCCAUAGCUCGUAGGUUCAUUGUUGUCUAGCAACAUGACUUUCAAGACAGGAUUACGUACCACUCUGAAGUGGUACGCAUCCUUGUCGACCUACAGGGUUUGGUAGUGACUUGAUCUGAAGUUUCAUGAUCACUAUCAUCAGCUUCCACUUCAAUUGGUGUAGGCGACAUAGGAAUAACUUCAUGUGCCCUGCUACACACUAGUUGAAGUGAUGGUUCAAUAACCUCAUCAAGUCUCCACCAUCCUCCCACUCAAUUCUUUCAAGAGAAACUUUUCCUCGAGAAAGGACCUGAUUCUAGAAACAAUCCCUUUUGCUUCCGGAUCUGAGAUAGGAGGUAUACCCAACUGUUUUGGGUGUCCUAUGAAGAUGCAUUUAUCCGCUUUGGGUUCGAGCUUAUCAGCCUGAAACUUUUUCACAUAAGCGUCGCAGCCCCAAACUUUUAACAAACGACAACUUAGAUUUCUCCAAACCAUAGUUCAUACGGUGUCGUCUCAACGGAAUUGCGUGGUACCCUAUUUAAAGUGAAUGCGGUUGUCUCUAAUGCCUAACCUAUAAACGAUAGUGGUAAUUCGAUAAGAGACAUCAUGGUAUGCACCAUAUGCAAUAGGGUGCAGUUAUGAUGUUCGGACACACCAUCACACUAUGGUGUUCCAGGCGGUAUUAAUUGUGAAACAAUUUCCACGAUGUCUUAAUUGUGUGCCAAACUUGUAACUCAGAUAUUCAUCUCUAUGAUCAUAUCAUAGACAUUUUAUCCUCUUGUUACGACGAUCUUCAACUUCACUCUGAAAUUACUUGAACCUUUCAAUAAUUCAGAUUUGUGUUUCAUCAAGUCAAUAUACUCAGAAUCUACUCAAAUCAUCUGUGAAGUAAGAACAUAACGAUAUCCACUGCGUGCCUCAGCACUCAUUAGACUGCACACAUCAAAAUGUAUUACUUCCAACAAGUUACUUUCUUGUUCCAUCUUACUGAAACCGAGGCUUUUCAGUCAUCUUGCCCAUGUGGUAUGAUUUGCAUGUCUCAAGUGAUUCAAAAUCAAGUGAGUCCAAAUGAUCUAUCUGCAUGGAGUUUCUUCAUGCGUAUACACCAAUAGACAUGGUUCGCAUGUCUCAAUCUUUUCAAAACGAGUGAGUCCAAAGAUCCAUCAACAUGGAGCUUCUUCAUGCAUUUUAUACCAAUAUGACUCAAAUGGCAGUGCCACAAGUAUGUGGUACUAUCAUCACUAUCUUAUAUCUUUUGGCAUGAACAUGUGUAUCACUACGAUCGAGAUUCAAUAAACCGUUCAUUUUAGGUGCAAGACCAUUGAAGGUAUUAUUCAAAUAACCAGAGUAACUAUUAUUCUCCUUAAAUGAAUGACCGUAUUGCGAUAGACAUAAUCCAAUCAUGUCUAUGCUCAACGCAAACACCAAAUAACAAUUAUUUAGGUUUAACACCAAUCUCGAUGGUAGAGGGAGUAUGCGAUGCUUGAUCACAUCAAGCUUGGAAACACUUCCAACACAUAUCGUCAUCUCACCUUUAGCUAGUCUCCGUUUAUUCCGCAGCUUUUAUUUCGAGUUACCAACACUUAGCAACCGAACCGGUAUCUAAUACCCUGGUGCUACUAGGAGUACUAGUAAAGUACACAUUAAUAUAAUGUAUAUCCAAUAUACUUUUAUCGACCUUGCCAGCCUUCUCAUCUACCAAGUAUCUAGGGUAGUCCUGCUUCAGUGACCGUUCCCCUCAUUACAGAAGCACUUAGUCUCGGGUUUGGUUUCAACCUUGGGUUUCUUCACUAGAGCAGCAACUGAUUUGCCAUUUCAUGAAGUAUCCCUUCUUGCCCUUGCCCUUCUUGAAACUAGUGGUUUCACUAACCAUCAACAAUUGAUGCUCCUUCUUGAUUUCCACUUUCGCGGCGUCAAACAUCACGAAUAUUUCAAGGAUCAUCAUAUCUAUCCCUGAUAUGUUAUAGUUCAUCACGAAGCUCUAGCAGCUUGGUGGCAAUGACUUUGCAGAAACAUCACUAUCUCAUCUGGAAGAUUAACUCCCACUCGAUUCAAGUGAUUGUUGUACUCAGACAAUCUGAGCACAAGCUCAACGAUUGAGCUUUUCUCCCUUAGUUUGCAGGCUAAGAAACUCGUCGGAGGUCUUAUACCUCUUGACGUGGACACGAGCCUGAAAUGCCAAUUUCAGCCCUCGAAACAUCUCAUAUGUUCCGCGACGUUUCGAAAUCGUCUUCGGUGCCUCAAUUCUAAACCGUUUAACAUUACUGAGCUAUCACGUAGUUAUCAAAACGUGUAUGUCAGAUGUUCGCAACAUCCAUAGACGACGUUCGAGGUUCAGCACACCGAGCGGUGCAUUAAGGACAUAAGCCUUCUACGCAGCAAUGAGGACAAUCCUCAGUUUACGGACCCAGUCCGCAUAAUUGCUACUAUUAACUUUCAACUAAAUUUUCUCUAGGAACAUAUCUAAAACAGUAGAACUAAAGCGCGAGCUACGACAUAAUUUGCAAAAACCUUUUGACUAUGUUCAGGAUAAUUAAGUUCAUCUUAUGAACUCCCACUCAGAUAGACAUCCCUCUAGUCAUCUAAGUGAUACAUGAUCCGAGUCAACUAGGCCGUGUCCGAUCAUCACGUGAGGCGGACUAGUCAUCAUCGGUGAACAUCUUCAUAUUGAUCGUAUCCACUAUAUGACUCAUGUUCGACCUUUCGGUCUCUUGUGUUCCGAGGCCAUGUCUGUACAUGCUAAGCUUGUCAAGUCAACCUAAGUGUUUCGCGUGUGUAAAUCUGGCUUACACCCGUUAUAUGUGAACGUUAGAAUCUAUCACACCCGAUCAUCACGUGGUGCUUCGAAACAACGAACUUUCGCAACGGUGCACAGUUAGGGGGGACAUUUUCUUGAAAUUAUUAUGAGGGAUCAUCUUAUUUACUACCGUCGUUCUAAGCAAAAAAGAUGCAUAAACAUGAUAAACAUCACAUGCAAUCAAAUAAUGACAUGAUAUGGCCAAUAUCAUUUUGCUCCUUUUGAUCUCCAUCUUCGGGGCUCCAUGAUCAUCAUCGUCGCCGGCAUGACACCAUGAUCUCCAUCAUCAUGAUCUCCAUCAUCGUGUCUCCAUGAAGUUGUCUCGCCAACUAUUACUUCUACUACUAUGGCUAACGGUUUAGCAAUGAAGUAAAGUAAUUACAUGGCGUUAUUCAGUGACACGCAGGUCAUACAAUAAAUAAAGACAACUCCUAUGGCUCCUGCCGGUUGUCAUACUCAUCGACAUGCAAGUCGUGUACAAGAAUAUGAUCAAUUUCAUACAUCACAUAUAUUUCAUUCAUCACAUCCUUCUUGGCCAUAUCACAUCACACGGCAUACCCUGCAAAAACAAGUUAGACGUCCUCUAAUUGUUGUUGCAUGUUUUACAUGACUGCUACAGGUUUCUAGCAAGAACGUUUCUUACCUACGCAAAGCCACAACGGUGAUAUGCCAAUUGCUAUUUACCCUUCAUAAAGACCCUUUUUAUCGAAUCCAAUCCGACUAAAGUGGGAGAGACUGGCACCCGCUAGUCACCUUAUGCAACAAGUGCAUGUCAGUCGGUGGAACCUGUCUCACGUAAGCGUACGUGUAAGGUCGGUCCGGGCCGCUUCAUCCCACAAUACCGUCGAAACAAGAUAGGACUAGUAACGGUAAGCAUAUUGAACAAACCAACGCCCACAACUACUUAUGUUCUACUCGUGCAUAGAAUCUAUGCAAUAGACCUAGCUCAUGAUGCCACUGUUGGGGAACGUAGUAAUAAUUCAAAAUUCUCCUACGUGUCACCAAGAUCAAUCUAGGAGAUACUAGCAACGAGAGAGAGACAGAGAGAGAGAGAGAGAGAGGGAGUGCAUCUUCAUACCCUUGAAGAUUGCUAAGCGGAAGCGUUACAAGAACGCGGUUGAUGGAGUCGUACUCGCGGCGAUUCAAAUCGCGGAAGAUCCGAUCUAGCGCCGAACGGACGGCGCCUCCGCGUUCAACACACGUACAGCCCGGGGACGUCUCCUCCUUCUUGAUCCAGCAAGGGGAGAGGAGAAGUUGAGGGAGAGCUCUGGCAGCACGACGGCGUGGUGGUGGAGCUUGCAGUUCUCCGGCAGGGCUUCGCCAAGCACUACUGAGGAGGAGGUGGAGUUGGAGAGGGGGAGGGUUGCGCCAGGGGCAAGGGGUUAAGCUCCCAUGCGCCUCCCCACUAUAUAUAGGGGUGGAGGGGCUGGUUUCUUGCCCUCCAAGUCCAUUGGGGCGUUGGCAAAGGUGGGAGGAAAGAAAUCCCAUCAUUUCCUUCCCCACCGAUUGUUAUCCCCCCUUUUUAGGGAUCUUGAUCUUAUCCCUUCGGGAUAUGAUCUUAUUCCUUCUAAGUGGGAUCUUUGUGCGCCUUGACCAGGGGUGUGUGGCCUUGUCCCCACUACCCACGUUCAUGUGGGUCCCACUCCGGAACCUUCUAGAACCUUCCCGGUACAAUACCGAAAAAUCCCAAACAUAUUCCGGUGGCCAAAAUAGGACUUCCCAUAUAUGAAUCUUUACCUCCGGACCAUUCCGGAACUCCUCGUGACGUCCGGGAUCUCAUCCGGGACUCCGAACAACAUUCGGUAACUGCACACUAAUUCCCAUAACAACUCUAGCAUCACCGAACCUUAAGUGUGUAGACCCUACGGGUUCGGGAAUCAUGCAGACAUGACCGAGACAACUCUCUGGCCAAUAACCAACAGCGGGAUCUGGAUACCCAUGUUGGCUCCCACAUGUUCCACGAUGAUCUCAUCGGAUGAACCACUAUGCCGGGGAUUCAAUCAAUCCCGUAUACAAUUCCCUUUGUCAAUCGAUACGUUACUUGCCCGAGAUUCGAUCGUUGGUAUCCCCAUACCUCGUUCAAUCUCGUUACCGGCAAGUCGCUUUACUCGUUCUGUAACGCAUGAUCCCGUGGCUAACUCCUUAGUCACAUUGAGCUCAUUAUGAUGAUGCAUUACCGAGUGGGCCCAGAGAUACCUCUCCGCCACACGGAGUGACAAAUCCCAGUCUCGAUUCGUGCCAACCCAACAGACACUUUCGGAGAUACUCGUAGUGCACCUUUAUAGCCACCCAGUUACGUUGUGACGUUUGGCACACCCAAAGCAUUCCUACGGUAUCCGGGAGUUGCACAAUCUCAUGGUCUAAGGAAAUGAUACUUGACAUUAGAAAAGCUCUUAGCAAACGAACUACACGAUCUUGUGCUAUGCUUAGGAUUGGGUCUUGUCCAUCACAUCAUUCUCCUAAUGAAUGAUGUGAUCUCAUUAUCAAUGACAUCCAAUGUCCAUGGUCAGGAAACCAUAACCAUCUAUUGAUCAAUGAGCUAGUCAACUAGAGGCUCACUAGGGACAUGUUGUGGUCUAUGUAUUCACACAUGUAUUACGUUUCCAGUUAAUACAAUUAUAGCAUGAACAAUAGACAAUUAUCAUGAACAAGGAAAUACAACAAUAACCAUUUUAUUAUUGCCUCUAGGGCAUAUUUCCAACAUGUUUUUCUAUAACUUUGUCCUCUCUUUGGUGAAAGUUAUCGCGGCGUUUGUACGUAAAUUAUCGGGUAUGUGGUUCACAUAUUACCGUGCUAUUUUCACAUAAGUUAGCGGGUUAUAUUCUUCAACAACUUUCCCCGCUUAGUCAAAAGUUACCGCGUUAUUUGUACCUAAAUUAUCAGGUAUGUGAUUCAUAUAUUACCAUGUUAUUUUCACAUAAAUUACCGACGGGGUAUGUUUUUCAACAAAUUUUCCCCUUUGGUUAAAGUUACCACGGUGUUUGUAGAGAAGUUAUCGGGCAUGUGGUUCAUAUAUUAUCGUGCUAUUUUCACAUAAUAUAUCGAUGAUAUUUUUUUAAUAACUUUUCUUUCCGGUGCAAAAGUUACAAUGGUGUUUGUAUUGUGCUUAUUACCAUGUUAUUUAAACAGAAUUGUCGGAGGGUAUGUUUGAACAACCCCCUCCCCUGGUAAAUCUUACCGCAAUGUUUCUAUGUAAAUUAUCAGAUAUGUGUUUUGUAUAUUACCAUGCUAUUUGCACAUAAAUUUACCGGGGUACUCCCUCCAUUCCUCUUUGUAGUGUGCCGUUGUGCGUAGCGUUUAUACCAAGACGUGACCUGGCACUCUUAUUUGGACGAAAAUUACCCCUCCGUCUGCUCACUCUGCCACAGCACAUGGCUGCCUGCUGCUGCACUCCCUGAACCAGGCGAGGGCUAUUGUGGUCCAAAGCAGCUUAGGCGCACUACAUUUCGGAAUCUAGCCCAAAAAACUAUACGCAUUAGAAUAUGGAAUGGAGGGAGUAUCUUUUUUCAGAAACUUAAUAUGUGUGUUUGUAGGUAAGUUAUCAGGUCCACAGUGCUUAAAAUACAAUGUUGUUUACACAAAAUUUACCGGAGUAUGUUUCAAAAACUUUUCUCCGGGUCAAAAUUACUAACAUGAUGGUAUCGAAGUUGUCAGGAUCAAAGUAGAAAACAUCGUCGAAAGACUGUUUACUGCAAGGGAGAUAUGUACCUGACAAAAACGUCAUUCUUUUUGUAACUUUUUCCUUUUAAUUUACCCAAAAAAAUGGAAGAAAAAAUGCAUAGAACCUGGUAGACCGCAUGGCUACAAGCAUGAAAUAGCAGCAACACUCGAUGCCUAAUUAGCAGACACCAGCUAGCCUAGCCUAGCCUAGCCUAGCAAGUAAACAGCAGCAACACGCGUAUGGAACAGUGGCAGGAAUAAGAAAUAGCGGCAGGCGCAUGAAGCCCACGCGCGUUUUGCAUGGGAGGAGCUGCACAUGGAGCCCACGCGCGUUUUGCAUGGGAGGAGCUGCCCAUGGAGCAGCAGCAGCAGAAAGUCCACGCGCAUCUUGCGCGGAAGGAGCAGCACGCAGCACCAGCCCACGCGCGGGCGUUUGCGGAAAAGAAGCGUUGACCGCUUGAUGCAAAUCGUACGACGCGGGAUGCGGUAGGUAGUUUCGCAGAAAAACUUCCGUGUGCCAGAUGCAUAUUUCGUUAUUCGAUAUAUAACCCCACGUUCUCAUAACCAUGACCUAAACAACCACAACCGUCAUCCCGAAGCUUCACGCCCGUCACUGCUGCCGCAGGCGACGAUGGUGAGUAUGUCAAUGGGGAGCGGGGCGAGGAGCAUCCAGUUGGCGAGUACGUCGACAUGGAGUGGAUCGCCAUCAACGAGGGGCGCCGGCUAACUCUCCACGACCCUCGUGGCCGUGAUCUACCGAGACGCUCGACGCCACAUCGCCACACCGUGAUCCGCCAAGGCCAAUGAGAGCAACAGUGACCAGUGAGACAUUUGAUGGCCGAUCCCUUGGCACGGUGACCAGCGAUAUGUGAGAUCGAUCAUCUCAGCAUACCGAUCUCCUACACAAGUCGCUCCCUCCAUAGCGCCUGCAACUUCGGGUGAGGACUGUUGGCGGGCGCCCUUCAGGACGGUGGUUAUCAUGACCGUUGAUAUGUGCAUUGUGAUAUGGAUUGGGUCACACCGAUUGGCAGGCUAGAAAGUUGGCGCAGGCCUGCUAUCAGCCUAUAUACGUUUGGCACAUGUACUGCGCAUGGGCUGGCUCGACCACAUCUGUUCCGAUGGCCCAUACCUGUUUAUUUCAAAAUAGCACAUGACCUGUGACCCGUGACUCGUCUUCCACCCACCCUUUUCCCCCUCCGGCCGGCCUAACCACAGGGGCCGCACAAUUUCUCUUGUCCCGGCCUCUCUUCCUCUGUACUGAAUCACGGAGGCGCUGCCGUCCUCUCCGGGCGAGAUGGGCUCCUCUGGUGGCCAGUGCGAUGGGUCCGCUAUCAGAUCCUGCUCUAAAAUAAAAUCAUGGGCCCCUAACCGUAGCUUAUCCCUUUGGAUCAGGUUUCUGAUUGAUGCGGAGGCGGCCGCCCUGUCGAAUCUCAGGCAUCCAUGAGCGGCGCCAAUGGCCAGAUUGGUUCUAUAGGAGAUGGGGCUGACGAAAUCCAGAUGGCAGAUGUCUUUGGCAAUGCGGGCUUCGAUGUCUGCUCCGAGGCAACGAGCGGGUGGAGGAGGAGGUAACAAUUGAUCCCAUGUCUUCCCCAGCGAGUAUAGUUGCGUGUGUUGUUUUCUGGCUAAAUAUUUACUUUGCAAAUAGAUGCAACUAGAAAAGUGAUUUCCCACUGUGGAACAUAUGAAUACAGUUAGGAUUUUCAAACUGGAAUUAUGUCCUACAUACUAUGGGUCUAUGUGGUUACUGCUAUAUUUUUGGAAUUCAAUGAAAUGCCUUGGUGUCUACUUGUGUGAUUUAGUUUAUAUUGCACAAGUAUGUUGGCUGUGGGUAGUUAAAUCUCUUGCCGCACGUAUUUACUCAUCUUGUAUACUUUAGCUUGUUUUCUGGAUUUAGUGGUACAGAUGUGAUGUGUAAUAAAGUAGACCAUCCAAUUGGGGUAAAUUCUAGUGGUAAUAUGUGCUGUUUAGCGAUGGCGGUGCAUACUGUAUCUGAUAACUUUUCAUGUUGGCAUAGCAUUUUGGUCAGGGAGCUUUUAAAAAUCAAGUGCUUAUACCUCCUAAAAACAUGCAGGGUUCGGAUAGGCAAGGGGCCUGCAGUGAGGGAUCUGAAUCCAAACAGGAAAACUGCACUAGAAUUGUCUGUUAGGGCAUAUGCAGAGAAGCGCAAUGGAACGGUUGUGAAGCCAACAAUUGGCACCUCGUUUGACUCGAUUGAUGAGGCAUAUGAGUUCUACAAUCUUUAUUCUUGGGAGUGCGGUUUUGGUGUCCGUCUUUCAAGCAGCAGACUCAAUGUUGACAGGAACAAAGCCAUGCAAGAAAUUGUAUGUGCAUGUGCGGUACGUGUCAAUCUUUGGUUGCGAAGUGUGUUUUUUUCUUCUUCUGAAUUUCUCAUGUUUUUUAAAUUCUUGCUAAUGCCGGCCUGGAAUUAUGAAUUGUCUUCUGACUGGCACAAUUUUUCCGUGUGUGGAAAAACAGGGCAAACCACUAAAGGAGAACACCCGUUCAACGAGAUGUGGUUGCACAGCUAUGAUUAGGCUGCUUAGGUCCAGUGAUAAUGGUUGGUACAUAUCAGAACAUAAAGAAGCUCAUAACCAUCCAUUGUCUUUGACUUGCGGGGAGAAAAUGCAUUGGAAGUCACAUAGGCAUAUUGAUCGGUACGCGAAGGAUCUGGUGAAGCAACUGCGGGACAACAAUGUAGGGCUUGGCAAGGUGUUCAGCAUCGUUGGUAGUUUCUUUGGAUCGGUGGAGAAUGUCCCGUUCACAAAACGCUCUUUGAAGACUCUGUGCCGGAAGCUUAACAAGGAGCAAUCUGAUUUUGAUGCGAUGAAGACAAUGGACAUUUUGUCAGAGAUGAAAGCAAAUGACCCUGAUUUCAAUUAUACAGUGCAGGUGGAUGAGGAGAGUCGGAUUAAAACUUUGAUGUGGGUGACUAGCAGGGGCUGUGAUCAGUACAGGUGUUUUGGAGAUGUUAUCACGUUUGACACGGCAUACCGAACGAACCUGUAUGACAUGCCGUUUGGGCUGUUUGUCGGGGUAAAUAACCACUUCCAGAGUAUAAUAUUCGGAGGUGUCAUGGUUAGAGAUGAAAAAGAGGAAACAUUUAAAUGGGUUUUCAGGGAAUUCAUUCGCAUGGUGGGAGGGAAGCACCCCAAAACGAUUCUGACAGGUUUGUGUGCAGCUCGGUCAUAUUUCUAUCAUCACAUAUAUUCAAUAGCUGUUCGAUUUAUUUUGCCUAUGCUAUAGUCGUUGAUAAGCAUUUGCCUGCUGAUUAUUUUUUCAGAUCAGGCAAGAUCAAUGGAAAUUGCUGUCGAAGCUGAGCUACCGAACACAGUGCACCGGUGGUGUAAAUGGCAUGUCUUGCGGAAGGCUAAAGAGUCGAUGGGGACACUUUGGAGCAAGAAAAGCGAUUUCAAAUUAGAGUUCCAUAAGCUUGUGCACCACAUGUUAACAGAGGAGGAGUUUGAGGCCGGAUGGGAUGAAAUGUUGGAGAAGUAUUCUCUCCGCAAACAUCCUUUCCUGACGCAGAUAUACGAGGUUCGCCAUAAGUGGGCGAAGCCGUACUUUAGAGGUGUGUUUUGUGUAAAAAUGACCAGCACUCAGCGUAGCGAGAGCGCAAACCACCUCCUCAAGGGCUACGUCCCUCCUGGGUGUCCCAUGCAUUUGUUUUUGAGGCAGUUUGAGAAGCUCCAAUUCGACAGGGAGUCCGAGGAGAGCUUCCAAGAGAAAAGAACAUCCCUGGUUAGUACAGUGUGCAUUUAUUGUUGAUUUGAACUGCUGAUUAUACUUCUGGAAAUGUUUACUCAUUUAUGUGCUUACAAAUUUCAGAGUGGUGUUUCUCUAAAAGUAAAUCUGCCUAUCGAGAGGCAUGCAAGCAAGGUUUACACAAGGGCCAUGUUUGAACAGUUUGGUGAAGCAUUGUAUAAGUCCUUUUCAUACGUGCGGCUAGGUUGCCUUUUCCAUAGGCUGUCACUAGGUUGCCUUUUCGCCAGAAUACGCGCGGCUACGGUGUCAGCUCGGACCGGAAUACGCGCCAGAUGUGGAUCACGAGGAAGCUGGACGGCCAGGAUAACAACCGUCAACCACCAUUCGCAUUUUUCGCUGCAACUUCCCCCAUCUGCGGGAAGCCUUCCAAAUUCAUGUCGCCGUUCCAACAUAGUUCCAAAAAUCACAAACGUUUCUUAAAUUCAUGGACACUUUUCAAAUUCAUGUACAUAGUUCCAAAAUCCAUGAACUUUUUAAAAUUAAUGAAAUAUUUAAAAUUAUUUAUUUUCGAAAUCCAUAAAUAAUUUUUCAAAAUCAUUAACACUUUUUAAAAUUCUGAACAUCUUCUAAACAAAAGAGAAGAACUAUACGGGGUCAGCCGCGACAGGAUAUGCGAUUGCUUGACAAAGAAGAAAGAAUCGGGCCUGUUUUGUGAAAAGAAAAAUUAGAACAAGCGCACCAUUUUUUUAAGGUGAUGGCAUGGCAAUAAAAUAACUAGAUAUCAAAGGAACUAAAAAUAAAAUUUUCUAAAAAAAGGCCGACACAAAGUGGAUUGAAACCUACAACUUAGUGCUUGCUACAUAAAAUGCUUAUGAAACUUAUGGACUAGUUUUUAUUCUAUCACAUACCACGUCUUAUGGAGUAGUUUUUAUUCUGUCAAGUUUCAACCUGAGGAAGGAAGAAAAAUGAGAGGCUUCGUCGACCUUUAAUCUAAAAGAAAAAGGGGAAGGCAUGGGAAAAAAUGUGAGAAACGGGAGUCGAAUCCACAACCUCUCUAAUUGUUAAGUGUAGGUCUUGUUGGAUUUGUUGGCUCUCUUCAAAUCUUGGCAGUCAGUGCGUCAAUCAAGGAAAGCAACUAGCUUGGUCUUGGUAUGGUGACUUCGACCUCUUCUUCUGAGUUGUUCAGCGACAUGACCCAGUUUGGCCGACCCUAUGGAUUGAUGGUGAAGGAUUGCAAGCCUGCGAUGUGUGCGGUGAUGCCCCAACUGAUAUUCCUCGAGCGGGUUACUAGAUCUAGUUUCGAGCAGCGAGUGCUUAUCUUUAAAGCCUGGUAUGGCGAGGGGCAUUUGCAAGUGUUCCUUUUCCUUCAGUUGGCUCAGUGCAUUUUCAAGCUCCGAUGAGCGACGUACAGUCGAAAGAAGAAGAUGAUUAAAUAUGGUUUUAGAUGUAAUCUAAUUUCUUUGUUGGUCAUUUUGUGUUUUCUUGCCUUUUCAUUGUACUAUGUACCGUUGUUCUACGAUAACAUUCAAUUAUAAGAUGCCCUUGGUGUCUUUAAACAAGUAGUUUUUGUCAAAUUUAAAAUAAAUAAAAGAAUAUUAUUUUUAUAUGUUUUUCAAUUAUAGAAAAUAUCGAAAAAUCUUAAAAAUCUUUAACAAAUUAAAAUAUAAAUCUUCAAAUGAAAAAAAGUGUUCUAAAUUUUACAAAAAUGUUUGUGAAUUUCAAAAAAGUUUCCGAAUCUAAAGAAAAUGCACAGGAAUUUGAAGAAAAAUCCUGAAGUUUAUUUUUAAUGAAUUUAAUAAUGGAUAAAAUGAGCAUAAUAAUAACCACCUACAUCGGCUAGAUUGUGUUGGUUGGAAAUUCUAGAAUUUCAAAGAAUGUUCACGAAUUUAUUGAAGAAGACGGUCAUCGUUUAGGUUGGUCGGGAUAAUUACAGUUGGUGAAUUUUCUAAAUCAAAGAAGCCCCUCGAUGAACUUGGAUUGGGAAAGAUCUUAGGUGACCCCGAGAUCAUUAUAAUGUGUUUACCUCGCAUUGAAAAAAGUUUUUGUCGAAUGUAAAAAAAAUUUGCGUGAUGUACACUUUUUUUUUGUGCAAGUCACAAUUUUUUUUGUACAUGUAUUUGAAUAACGGGCGACAUUUAUUUUGAAAAUUAUCAACGUCCAUUCAACAAAAGAGAUAAAAUUAAUAAAGCAAAAUAUGGGAAAGAAAAUGAACCGCUAGGGCUUAGCACACCUCUUUUGCUAGUAGGCCGUGACCCUCUAUGAAUCGCUAGAGGCGAGUGCUUCGUCGGCCUCGCAGAAGGCAAGAUAUAGCAUUUUCGGUUAGAGGAUGCCUAUGUGUGUCUUUCCCAAAUAUAGUUUUUCUUUUUACUCGGAAAAAAUAGUUUUUCUUUUAGUGGAUCCCAAAAUAUAGUUCUGCCAAAAAUAGAAGGAAAGGACAAAAAUAUAGCCUACCGAAAUCUACACGGAGUGCAACCCAGUUGGGCCGAAACCUCCAAGAACCAAAUAUGCCAAGAACAAGAACUCGGCAAGGACUGCAUUGGGCCGGGCUUGCUCCAAGACUUAUAACUUGGCGCACCGCACUCCCGACCACACCCCACAUCCACUUUCCCCGUCUGGCUUUCUUCUCGGCGGAGGCGGAGGCGACAGGAAGGCGAACGACGAACCCUAGCCGCGCAAGGAACGCCCAGAUCCCCAAGGUACGCUCACCUAAACCUACCGCAUUCUCCUCGGCUGCAAUCCGAUCGAUGGUGUGUGUGUGUGUUGUGUAUCUAUGGGGGCGGGGGUUGGGGGAGCCGCAGCCGGCCGGCCGGCGGUGGUGAUUCGUGACGGACUUGUCAUCCUAAUCCCUAACCGAUAUAUUGUUGGCAGGCCGGCCACGAUGGCGGCGGUUCGGUGCGCGGCGAGGAGGCUCGGUGGCUCCCUGCUCCAGCAAACGCAGGCGGUGGUCGCGGAGGAGGGACGCCUGCUCGCGCCAGGCAGGCUCAUGCGCUCCCGCCAGCUCUCCAGCCAGGUCUCCGGCGAGGUAUCUCAACCGAAAUUGACAUAUUUUAAAUUUUUCUCAUGAUUUAUAUGUAUCUCACGACAUCAAGGGUUGAUGUAGCCACCCAUAAUCGAAUUCUGUGCAACCGAAACUGCAACAUCUACUAGAAACAAAACAAGAUUACUUAACCUGACCUGAACCUGUACAUCCUGACGUACUGGUGCUUAUAUAUAUCAUUUAAGCAACCUAUUUUGCUGGUUGAUCUGAGAAUGACUUUUUACUCGUCCCUGCUGGCCUACUCCAGCGAUCACAGGUGGCGGAGCGACGACUCCUCGAGCCAGGCUGGCUCAUGCGUUCCCGCCAGCUCUACAGCAAGGUAUCUAAACCAAAACUGACAUCUUUUUAUCUCAUGAUUUAUCUGCCGACAUGAUGGAUGUAGCCUCCGAUAAUUGAAUUGUGUGCAAUCGGAACAGCAACAUGCAUGUGUCUCUUCUAUAGAUACUAGACUAGAAAAAAGAGCAAAAAUUACUUACUUAGCAUCGUCUUGUUUAAUCUGACCUGAAGCUGUACAUCCUGACUUAAUAACAGGACUGCAUCCAAAUCAUAUCAUUAAGCAACAUUAUUUUUCCUGGAUGAUCCGAGCAUUAUGACUUUUUGCUCAUACCUUUAGCAAAUAAUUAGUUCCAACUCAUCUUCUGCUUGAUGCAUGCUAAUACAGUAUGAUGAUUAUGUGACUUCAUUUAUCCAUAUACGGCAAGUAUGAUCCUGUGCCUAGUUGAUACACAUGCACCAUGCAUUCUGUACAUUUCGAACUGACAGACAAGACAAUAUCCUUCUUAAUUAUUUACCAGUUGCAGUCAGUGCUUACUUCAUGAUUGAUGAUGCAAAGUAAGUACAGUGACCAUUUUCUAUGUGUAUUAAUCCAGACCCCCAAGAAGAAGAAGCUGUCUGCCUUGGAAUCUGAGUUCCUGUGGACACAGGAGACGCUUAAUGCCUCGUGUGAUAGGUUGGAGGAGCUUCAAAAGAAAGCAGCACCAGAUGCCUUUAAGUUGUAUGUACAAUAUACAAGAUGCAUGCAGAUACUAUACUUGAUUGAUUUCUUCCUUAUUUUCAUGUUUGUUUGUUUGUUUGACAGGAGUUGAUACAUAUAAUCUUAUUUGACCUACCUCUCUCUACCUGCAGGGGCGUGAAGACCUAUGGACGUGUGGCUAAGGGUGUGGUCAGUGGAGCUGCCAAGCUGACAUUUUGCUUCUGUAUGGUUACUUCUGUUAUUUUUGGUGACAAGGGGGUACAAAGCCAGGCUGUUACCAAUGAAAACCAUUGAAGACGAGAUGGAAAAAUGAGAACCAAAGAUGGCGCGUGUUUUAAGUUAUAAAUUAUGACCUCUGCAGUUUGGCUAGCUAGCAGUCUAGCACUAUGCUAUGAUAUUGUGUGACAUUAGCAUGUUAUUAUAUCUCUUCGAGUAGAUUAUGCAUGAAAUUGUAGCUUGAUGCGAACAUACUUGCAAAGCUUGUAUCGUCAUUGGCAUGCAUUGUAGUGAUUGCAAUCAACUUAGAAGUUACUCAUGACUGAUUUUAAUUGUCUUACGUCUUGUACAGAUCCUUUCACUUCAUGACUGCCCUGUUUUUUUUUU